RNAcentral lists this long non-coding RNA (224 nucleotides) under Homo sapiens (human). RNAcentral's name for it is "non-protein coding LINC01013:14". The record is from RNAcentral. Lineage: Eukaryota; Metazoa; Chordata; Mammalia; Primates; Hominidae.
GGGAAAAGAAGCCUGGAGCAGGCAGUACAGUGGGAGAACAAGUUCAACCAAUCUACAAAGGCCAAAAAUAUUUUCACAGGCCCCCAAAAGAUGAACUCCAAUCUGCUGCCCCUAAACGCAUUCUCCACUGUCUGGAAGAUGUGCAAAGGCAACGGCACAGCGUUCUCCAUCUCAAAUCCUUCAAAGUGCUGUCAGAAUAAAAGAAUCCCCACCAAAAGCCCCAG